GACGAACGCUGGCGGCGUGCCUAAUACAUGCAAGUAGAACGCUGAAGAGAGGAGCUUGCUCUUCUUGGAUGAGUUGCGAACGGGUGAGUAACGCGUAGGUAACCUGCCUUGUAGCGGGGGAUAACUAUUGGAAACGAUAGCUAAUACCGCAUAACAAUGGAUGACCCAUGUCAUUUAUUUGAAAGGGGCAAAUGCUCCACUACAAGAUGGACCUGCGUUGUAUUAGCUAGUAGGUGAGGUAACGGCUCACCUAGGCGACGAUACAUAGCCGACCUGAGAGGGGAAUGGGCCACACUGGGACUGAGACACGGCCCAGACCCCUAGGGGAGGAAGCCGUAGGGAAUCUUCGGCAAUGGGGGCAACCCUGACCGAGCAACGCCGCGUGAGUGAAGAGGGUUUUCGGAUCGUAAAGCUCUGUUGUAAGUCAAGAACGAGUGUGGGAGUGAAAAGUUCACACUGUGACGGUAGCUUACCAGAAAGGGAGGGCUAACUACGUG
Molecule: ribosomal RNA, 497 nt
Filed under: uncultured bacterium
Lineage: Bacteria
Description: partial 16S ribosomal RNA
Rfam family: Bacterial small subunit ribosomal RNA
Source: RNAcentral